Grammomys surdaster is the source of this 591-nucleotide RNA transcript. It is a transcript of the gene named nuclear protein 1 pseudogene, with no coding region annotated. NCBI's taxonomy places the organism in Eukaryota, Metazoa, Chordata, Mammalia, Rodentia, Muridae. The transcript has a single exon. The record is from RefSeq and is a predicted model, not a curated record.
ACAUUCAGAAAACACUGAACAGAGGCAAGACUUCGGAGAAAGCAGACCAAGCAUGAUGGCCACCUUGCCACCAACAGCCAAUCCUUCCCAGCAACCUCUAAACCUAGAGGACGAAGAAGAUGGAAUCCUGGAUGAGUAUGACCAGUACAGCCUGGUUCAUCCUUAUGUAGUCGGGGGAAGUCGGAAAGGUAGGACAAAGAGAGAAGCUGCUGCCAAUACCAACCGCCCUAGCCCUGGUGGGCAUGAGAGGAAACUGCUGACCAAAUUCCAGAACUCUGAAAGGAAAAAGGCCUGGCGCUGAGGCAGAGCUGGAGAUGAGGUCAGACCAUGGACACCACACCCGGGAAUGGACACAGGACUUUGGAGAAAUUAGGAGCUGUAAGCAGGACCUAGGCCUGCUUGAGUCUCUCCCACCUGAGUGAGGUUCUGGAGAGGGAGCACCAAAAAGCCCUUCCAGACUCAGCAAAAGGGCAAGAUGGGCAAGAAGCAGAGGGUGGAUGGGCAGAAGACAUCCCCCAAAGAACUGUGGGAGAAAUCGCACGCCCUUGGGUGGCAGCGACAAUAAACCGUACAGCAGUGAAAAAAAAAAAA